UCACAGGCAUCUCCCAAGCCAUGGGUC
RNAcentral lists this non-coding RNA (27 nucleotides) under Homo sapiens (human). Lineage: Eukaryota; Metazoa; Chordata; Mammalia; Primates; Hominidae. The record is from RNAcentral.